RNAcentral lists this ribosomal RNA (1098 nucleotides) under uncultured Candidatus Saccharibacteria bacterium. RNAcentral's name for it is "bacterial SSU rRNA". It matches the Rfam family "Bacterial small subunit ribosomal RNA", at positions 28 to 1167 of the family's 1533-position model. Lineage: Bacteria; Candidatus Saccharimonadota. The record is from RNAcentral.
GAUGAAUGCUGGCGGCGUGCCUAACACAUGCAAGUCGAGCGGCAGCGAGGGGUGCUUGCACCCUGUCGGCGAGCGGCGGACGGCUGAGUAACGCGUGGGAAUCUACCCUAAAGUGAGGGAUAACCGCCCGAAAGGGUGGCUAAUACCGCAUAUGAUCUUCGGAUUAAAGGAUUUAUCCGCUUUAGGAAGAGCCCGCGUUAGAUUAGGUAGUUGGUAGGGUAAUGGCCUACCAAGCCAACGAUCUAUAGCUGGUCUGAGAGGAUGAUCAGCCAGACUGGAACUGAGACACGGUCCAGACUCCUACGGGAGGCAGCAGUGAGGAAUCUUCCACAAUGGGCGAAAGCCUGAUGGAGCAACGCCGCGUGAAGGAUGAAGGCCUUCGGGUUGUAAACUUCUUUUAUGAGUGAAGAAUAUGACGGUAACUCAUGAAUAAGCACCGGCUAACUACGUGCCAGCAGCCGCGGUCAUACGUAGGGUGCAAGCAUUAUCCGGAGUGACUGGGCGUAAAGAGUUGCGUAGGCGGUUUAAUAAGUGAAUAGUGAAACCUGGUGGCUCAACCAUACAGACUAUUAUUCAAACUGUUAAACUCGAGAGUAGUAGAGGUAACUGGAAUUUCCAGUGUAGGAGUGAAAUCCGUAGAUAUUAGAAGGAACACCAAUGGCGUAGGCAGGUUACUGGACUAUUUCUGACGCUAAGGCACGAAAGCGUGGGGAGCGAACUGGAUUAGAUACCCAGGUAGUCCACGCCGUAAACGAUGGAUACUAGCUGUUGGAGGUAUCGACCCCUUCAGUAGCGAAGCUAACGCGUUAAGUAUCCCGCCUGUGGAGUACGGCCGCAAGGCUAAAACAUAAAGGAAUUGACGGGGACCCGCACAAGCGGUGGAUCAUGUUCUUUAAUUCGAUGAUAAACGAAGAACCUUACCAGGGUUUGACAUCCCGAGAAGAUUUACGAAAGUAGAUUGUGCCUUUUGGAACUCGGUGACAGAUGAUGCAUGGCCGUCGUCAGCUCGUGUCGUGAGAUGUUUGGUUAAGUCCAUCAACGAGCGCAACCCUUGUGAAUAGUUGAAUUUUUCUAUUCAGACUGCCCCGGCAACGGGGA